Long non-coding RNA from Carassius carassius (crucian carp), 249 nucleotides. RefSeq lists it as uncharacterized. NCBI's taxonomy places the organism in Eukaryota, Metazoa, Chordata, Actinopteri, Cypriniformes, Cyprinidae. The transcript is spliced from 3 exons. The record is from RefSeq and is a predicted model, not a curated record.
UGGUACCGCCCAUACUGAGUGUGCCGGUGCAGACGUGCAUUUUAUGCCCGGUUGGGUCACAGGUUGUCCACUGCAUGUCAGCCAUGAAAUCAGUGAAAAGUCUUCCUGCAUGUUAAUUCAUUAUGAGCUGUGAGCGACUAUACACUUCGUGUGGCACGAGGAAUUGCUUUGGGCACUGCUGGCCCGGGGCUGGGAGGCUAGCUAGCUAGUUUGGAGUAUUACAGGUGGUGGUGCAGUUGUGUGGAGUGC